This 430-nucleotide ribosomal RNA is filed under the name uncultured fungus. RNAcentral's name for it is "eukaryotic LSU rRNA". It matches the Rfam family "Eukaryotic large subunit ribosomal RNA", at positions 1 to 432 of the family's 3401-position model. The record is from RNAcentral. Lineage: Eukaryota; Fungi.
GACCUCGGAUCAGGUAGGGAUACCCGCUGAACUUAAGCAUAUCAAUAAGCGGAGGAAAAGAAACCAACAGGGAUUGCCUUAGUAACGGCGAGUGAAGCGGCAACAGCUCAAAUUUGAAAUCUGGCCUUCUGGUCUGAGUUGUAAUUUGUAGAGGAUGCUUCGAGCAUGGUCCGGUCUAAGUUCCUUGGAACAGGACGUCAUAGAGGGUGAGAAUCCCGUAUGUGACUGGGUGCCUAGUCUCAUGUGAAGCUCCUUCGACGAGUCGAGUUGUUUGGGAAUGCAGCUCAAAAUUGGUGGUAAAUUUCAUCUAAAGCUAAAUACUGGCCAGAGACCGAUAGCGCACAAGUAGAGUGAUCGAAAGAUGAAAAGCACUUUGGAAAGAGAGUUAAACAGUACGUGAAAUUGUUGAAAGGGAAGCGCUUGCAACCAG